Molecule: non-coding RNA, 300 nt
Organism: Pelobates cultripes (western spadefoot toad)
Lineage: Eukaryota; Metazoa; Chordata; Amphibia; Anura; Pelobatidae
Source: the annotation of a GenBank genome assembly
CACAUGUUCUGUAGGGUGAAAAUAAUACUCCGUGAAAGUAGAUUCACAAGACCAAUCUGCUGUUCGCAGAAGGUCUUCAAGUUUACCUCUAGUAGAAUGUGCGCCAUAUACGGAGGUAUCUAUGUGCGCCGAAGCUAUUGUCCAUUUCACCCAGCGGGCUAGUGUCACCAUAGAUACGGGGUAAUGAGGUAGUUUAGUAACAGCACGUGAUGUGCUGGGUUUCGAAACACCUGAGUUUGUUUUUUGUAUACCCGGAGACAAGUCACUGGGCAGAGGUUCACGUUGUAAGGAAACGAUGAG